Hemicordylus capensis (graceful crag lizard) is the source of this 1055-nucleotide long non-coding RNA. RefSeq lists it as uncharacterized. The record is from RefSeq and is a predicted model, not a curated record. NCBI's taxonomy places the organism in Eukaryota, Metazoa, Chordata, Lepidosauria, Squamata, Cordylidae. The transcript has 3 exons.
AAAUUUUCAAUCAAUCAAUCAAUCAAUCAAUCAAUCAAUCUUUAUUAUGGUCUUUGACCAGUAUAAAGUGGAUUACAUUAGUGCAGCAUUAAAUGGCAUUAAAACAGGCCAUGCCUGGAACUCUAAGUACAGAGGCUAAAAACUUUACACUGUUAUACAGCUACUGUUAGACAAUGAGUAUGGCCUGAUGCUGACAGAGCUGAGGAAAUGUUCCACAUACUAACACUGUAAUACAGAGGUCUCAAGAAAGCUUACUGGAAGCCCAUACAACGUUUUUAAAAAAAUCUUUUUGGUCUUGUUACACCAUAACUCAUCACUGAAAGGAGGAGUAGAAGGAGGGGAGGAGGAGAAGGAGGAGUCCCCUAGAACUGGAGUAUCCCAGAUACAGGUUUCAGCAGUGAGAGUAAUCCAGAAGUGAGUAAAACAAAACAGACUAGGAAAUCUAUCUAUCUACCUCCAUUUUACAUCCUGCCCAGUAUAAGUGACUGGGAUAAUGGACCAAAGUGGGAAUUUCCAGAAGCUGGCUUGACUGAAUCAGCCCUGCUGCUCUGACAGAAUGUAUCUCUGGAUGAAGAUUUGUGGCUAAACUUAUAUUUGCAAUUUGGACCAAGGCAUGGACUAUAUUGGCAGGGAAGCAAGUCAGGAGUAGCAAGAGGAAGAAUGAAGGACCCCUUCCUCAGCAUGCUGCUGAAGGACAAUAGGAAUGGAACUUCCAUUGGGUCUUCAUGGAAAUGUGCCAAGCAUCAGGAAUCGCUACAGACAUGGAAUUCUACACAACCCCACAAGAAAAAGCAGCACCGCUCAUUAAGGGAAAUGUGGUUUUGGAGUGGAGGACUUUUGGAAUUGGAUAUUUGUAUAACUUCUCCCAGUGUGAGGAGGUGCUGCUUAAGUUAUGGAAAUCCUCACAUGUGGCAAUGAGCACUGGUGCCAGGAGUCAAAACCUUGUAUUUUAAUGUAGGUAAAAUUGAGUGAAUGGAAAUCACAAAUGGAGAUAUUUUUUUGUCUACAGUGGAAAGUUUGUAUUGGUGAUGAGGAAAUGAAUAGCUGAGAAAUGA